Long non-coding RNA from Ictalurus punctatus (channel catfish), 602 nucleotides. Lineage: Eukaryota; Metazoa; Chordata; Actinopteri; Siluriformes; Ictaluridae. The record is from Ensembl.
UUCAUCCAGGAGCUGUGAAAUGGCGCUGCUCGUCCUCCUGUUCUUCUUCCAUCUGAUUCUGGACAUUAACUCUCAAUAUGUUCCUCAGCCCCGGCUGUCCGUGUCUCCUGAAGUUCUCACAGAGAGAGGAUCAGUGCAGAUUCACUGUCAUGUUCCAGACAAUGUUAAAGUGUCUCUGUGUCAGUUCUACCCAGAGAGAGACAACACAAAUCUAAAACUCUCUCCAUCAUGUCAGCUCUCAGUCACUGGUUCUGAACUGAUCAGGUGGACAGGACGAAGUUCUCCUGGAACACUUCAUAUUACUUGUUACUACGCUUUGGAUAACUCUGUUCGUACUCCUUCUCCUCACUCUCUCCCAGCUCCAGUCUCAGUGCGGUAUCAGAAACCGAGACUAAGCGUCAGUCAUGAUGAUCAGUUUGAUGUAUUCAGAUUUGUGUGUGAAAUAUCAGGGUCAGAGUCAGUAACUGCUGAUUUUAGCUGUAAUCUCUACACUGGAGAAAAUCCUCAGCCUUAUGUAAAGACAGGAUCUCAGAAGGCAGUUUGUAGAUUUACAGCAAAGAAAAAUGAUCUGUUUAAUCGUCUGCAGUCAGUAAAGAGUCGUG